Molecule: unclassified non-coding RNA, 349 nt
Filed under: soil metagenome
Description: partial contains 5.8S ribosomal RNA, internal transcribed spacer 2, and large subunit ribosomal RNA
Rfam family: 5.8S ribosomal RNA (bases 1-120)
Source: RNAcentral
GAUGAAGAACGUAGCGAAAUGCGAUAAGUAAUGUGAAUUGCAGAAUUCAGUGAAUCAUCGAAUCUUUGAACGCACAUUGCGCCCCCUGGUAUUCCGGGGGGCAUGCCUGUUCGAGCGUCAUUUCAACCCUCAUGCUCUGCUUGGUAUUGGGCGUCGCCGGGGAGUCUCCCCGGCGUGCCUCAAAGCCAUCGGCGGUGGUGCCUUUCUCUAAGCGUGGUAGAAUUUUUAUUCGCUUCUGAGUUGGGCUUCACCUGCCGGACAAACCGGGCCCUCGCGGCCCACCUUCUCAGGUUGACCUCGGAUCAGGUAGGGAUACCCGCUGAACUUAAGCAUAUCAAUAAGCGGAGGA